UACGGAGGGUGCAAGCGUUAUCCGGAUUCACUGGGUUUAAAGGGUGCGUAGGCGGGCAGGUAAGUCAGAGGUGAAAUCUCCGGGCUUAACCCGGAAACUGCCUUUGAUACUAUCUGUCUUGAAUAUUGUGGAGGUAAGCGGAAUAUGUCAUGUAGCGGUGAAAUGCUUAGAGAUGACAUAGAACACCUAUUGCGAAGGCAGCUUACUACGCCUAUAUUGACGCUGAGGCACGAAAGCGUGGGGAUCAAACAGG
RNAcentral lists this ribosomal RNA (253 nucleotides) under uncultured bacterium. RNAcentral describes it as "partial 16S ribosomal RNA". It matches the Rfam family "Bacterial small subunit ribosomal RNA", at positions 524 to 776 of the family's 1533-position model. The record is from RNAcentral.